UAAAUUGGUUUAACACAAACAUUGUUUAUGAAUUAUGUGUAUGAUGCAUUGUUGAGAAUGUUGUUAGAAAAAAAUAUCAU
RNAcentral lists this small RNA (80 nucleotides) under Arabidopsis thaliana (thale cress). RNAcentral's name for it is "ATSL278640". The record is from RNAcentral. Lineage: Eukaryota; Viridiplantae; Streptophyta; Magnoliopsida; Brassicales; Brassicaceae.